This 492-nucleotide ribosomal RNA is filed under the name uncultured bacterium. RNAcentral's name for it is "partial 16S ribosomal RNA". It matches the Rfam family "Bacterial small subunit ribosomal RNA", at positions 29 to 507 of the family's 1533-position model. The record is from RNAcentral.
AGUGAACGCUGGCGGUAGGCCUAACACAUGCAAGUCGAACGGCAGCACAGUAAGAUCUUGCUCUUACGGGUUGCGAGUGGCGGACGGGUGAGGAAUACAUCGGAAUCUUCUUUUUCGUGGGGGAUAACGUAGGUAAACUUACGCUAAUACCGCAUACGACCUACGGUUGAAAGCAGUGGAUCUUCGGACCUUUCGCGAUUGAAUGAGCCGAUGUCGGAUUAGCUAGUUGGCGGGGUAAAGGCCCACCAAGGCGACGAUCCGUAGCUGGUCUGAGAGGAUGAUAAGCCACACUGGAACUGAGACACGGUCCAGACUCCUACGGGAGGCAGCAGUGGGGAAUAUUGGACAAUGGGCGCAAGCCUGAUCCAGCCAUACCGCGUGGGUGAAGAAGGCCUUCGGGUUGUAAAGCCCUUUUGUUGGGAAAGAAAAGCAGCAGGUUAAUACCCCGCUGUUCUGACGGUACCCAAAGAAUAAGCACCGGCUAACUUCGUG